RNAcentral lists this long non-coding RNA (1348 nucleotides) under Carassius auratus (goldfish). Its description in RNAcentral is "lncRNA (ENSCARG00000048974.1)". The record is from RNAcentral. Lineage: Eukaryota; Metazoa; Chordata; Actinopteri; Cypriniformes; Cyprinidae.
AGUGGAAAGUUGAGCCAAACUUGUUUCAGGCAGCACAUCAAUACAGAAGGAGACUUUUGGAAAGGGCUGAAAGUCUAUCUGCUGAAAGUCUAACCGCAGGACUGAACCUAUGCAGCAGUACACAGGAAAGAGAAAUUUAUAUUUUCUAUAAAUCUCAACCUGGCAACUGGGCUCGUCCAUUUUUCGUCAUACUCCGGAGUAAAAGUGAUGCAGCAAUUGGAGAUGGUGUGAAACGCUACUUUCUAUCCCAGGUUAUUUCACAUGUUCAGUUUGGGUUUGCCCUAGAUUUUGACAACUGUGGCAAAACUUUAUUUUUCACCGGUCAAGAAGACCAUUUGGUGCCAUCAACCUCCCGAACUCUGCUGGAUAGUGACCUGUUCCGCAUUGUUGGACGCAUGAUUGGCCAUUCUUUCAUUAAUGGUGGUCCCUUAUUGACUGGACUUAGCCCUGCUAUGUUUGGAAUAAUAACUGGACAAAUGAAUGAGACAGUCAUAAUUCAACUGGAAGAUUGCCCUGACACCAAUGUAAUUGACAUUGUCCAUCUGGUAUGUACAACAUAAAACCUACCUCUGAUCAUUGUUUUGUGCAAAUAAAAAUUACUGUGAAAAUGAGAAUAUUUGAACUAGAUUAGUAUAUUUUUUGCUAACAUUGAUUUUAUUACAGCUUCAAAGAUCAAAUACACUUUCUGAUGAUGAGCGUGCAAAAGUGAAUGACCUGGCUGUCAUUUGGGAUCUGCCUCGGGUCACUGUGGAAAACAGACUGUGGCUAGCCCAAAGCCUUCUUCACCAUGCGGUAAGUUUAACCUUUUUUAAAACAUCUUUUUUAUUUUAAACAAUUUUUGUAACUAUUUAUGAAAGACUGCAACAAUUAAAUACUUCAGGUCAUUGGCCGGCGGGAGAAACAGAUGCAGCAGUUGAAAAAAAGACUGUAGGAUACUGGAGUUUUGCGCAUGGUUAAAGAACGACCUUCUCUUAUUGAAGUCCUAUUUCCACGAUCAUCUUCCCUGACAAUUGAUGCACAGAUGAUCCUGGAAAAAGUAAUAUGGCCAAACCCUGACAGUGAUGAUGAGGAGAACUUCAAUCUGGAAACAUGCUGCAGAAUCACAUCCUAUUUACGGCAAUACGUUGAACAAGGUACACCACAAGAGCUGAAAAAUCUUGUUGAGUUUUGGGUUGGAUGGACAAGCCUACCACAGGAACUGUACGUGGAAGUGUCUCCUGACGUCAGAAUGCCAACUGCCUCAACAUGCAGGGAGACCCUUAAAAUCCCACUGCAUUACAGUGAUUAUGAAGAAUUCUGCGCUGAUCUAAAUGCAGCUGUGUCCAGCAACAGCUUUGUUUUGGUUUAG